UUUUAUAUAGCAACACACCACAUCAUUUCCUACCACUAUUCUUUCUCUCUUCGUUUUGCCGUUCGUUUUCCCAAGAAAAAACCAGGAACAGAAAGGGAAAAGGGGCUCUAUCCAUAUUCAUAGCAAGAAAAGAAGAAGAGAUCCCCAUGUCUCAAUCCACAUGACUUCAGAUUUUGCAUUACAAAUUCCUGCUGAGCUCGAGACAGCUCUGCAGUUGAAGACUGUGCAGUACUUGGUUACAAAGAGACCGUGGCUCGAUCUCUAUGGGGUUAAUGUUCGACCUGUUGCACCAUACGGAAGUGCUAGCAGAAGGGUAAAUGUUGAUCCAGCGUUGAUACACAGAUGCUUGCCUGAUGAGCUGCUCUUUGAGGUAUUUUCACGAAUGGCUCCAUAUGAUUUGGGAAGGGCAGCUUGUGUUUGUCGAAAAUGGAGAUACACUCUUCGUAACCCCAUAUUCUGGCGCAAUGCUUGCCUAAAGGCUUGGCAGCUGUCUGGAAUGGUUGAGAACUAUAAAAUUUUGCAAUCAAAGUAUGAGAGCUCGUGGAGGAAAAUGUGGCUUUUGAGGCCAAGGAUCCGUAUUGAUGGUCUCUAUGUCAGUAGGAAUACGUAUAUUCGCGCAGGUGUGCGAGAGUGGACCAUCACCAAUCCAGUUCACUUGGUUUGCUAUUACCGUUACAUGAGAUUUUUUCCUUCUGGCAGGUUCCUUUACAAGACUUCUGGUCAAACAGUAAAGGAAGUUGUGAAAUGCAUGAGUUUUCGUGCUUCUAAAACAGAUGGUGUUUUCAGUGGCCGCUACACAUUGACAGAUGACAAGGUUGAAGCCACUUUCAUGUACCCUGGCUUGUGUCCCACCAUGUGGAGAGCCUGCUUGAGGUUGAGGGGGACAACUUUAGGGGCCAACAAUAGGAUGGAUUUACUCUCACUUUCUACAAGUAAAGUGAACAGUGAUGGGAUAAUUGAGCCGGGGGAGGACAUUCUUGGACUAGUUGAGUUGCAAGAGAGUGUGAUUUCACGGAUAUCACACCAGAGGGGUCUAGCUCCUUUCGCAUUUGUUCCAUUUGAAGAGGUGGAAACAUCAGUUUUGAACCUGCCUGUGGAAAAGAUGGAUUAUUAUUUACCUGGCUAGUAUCUGGAUCCUUAUCAUUUGUAAACAUGUAGUUAUACCGAAGAAAUGCAGCGGACGAACAUUUGACAAUUAAAUUCUCAGCUUCUUUACAAGGGGGGAAAUGGUGAAAAGUGUGGGAAAAUGGGACGCGGGCGUAUCAAGAAAAACAAAUAGGUUGCUGUAAUUCCUCUUCAGGAAAGUUUGCAAAGAUUCAUGAACUAUCGUAAUUAUCGCUGAUGCCAAUUGCCUUGUCCAGGAGCCCAGAUGGCUUGAAGGAUUUUUUUAAUUUCCUCAUCAAUGAAAAUGACAAGUGAAGCAGCCUGCUCCUGUGCUGCAGUAGCUGCUCAUGACGUUCUUGGUUACAUGCUAGGUUUGAGAUCUUCAGUGUACACGAGGAUUCCAAGAUGGGUUCCGUGAAGUGUCCUGCCAAGAAACAAUGCAGCAUCAGGGGGACGCCUCUACAAAACAAAGGAGCUUUUUCUUUUUUCUUUUUUUUUUAUUUAAUUUUUGGUUCUAAUAACAUAGUAGCAAAUCAGACCAGCGUGACGCAAAUCAGUUGUCAAUAAAAACGGUGAAGUUGAAUACUUGUCGAAAUGGAUUGAAAAUCGCAGAAAUUGACAUGCCUUCAAUUCAGAGGGCACACAGCAGUUCAUCGUA
This is an RNA transcript of Populus nigra (black poplar), 1762 nucleotides long. It is a transcript of the gene named F-box protein 7-like, with no coding region annotated. The transcript has 13 exons. The record is from RefSeq and is a predicted model, not a curated record. NCBI's taxonomy places the organism in Eukaryota, Viridiplantae, Streptophyta, Magnoliopsida, Malpighiales, Salicaceae.